UACGUAGGGGGCAAGCGUUACCCGGAUUCACUGGGCGAAAAGCGGGUGUGGGCGGCUCGGUAAGUCGGGUGUGAAAUCCCACGGCUCAACCGUGGAAUUGCGCCCGAAACUGCUGAGCUUGGGGCCGGUAGAGGGAGACGGAACUGCCGGUGUAGGGGUGAAAUCCGUAGAUAUCGGCAGGAACGCCGGUGGGGAAGCCGGUCUCCUGGGCCGCGCCCGACGCUGAGGCCCGAAAGCUAGGGGAGCAAACCGG
RNAcentral lists this ribosomal RNA (253 nucleotides) under uncultured bacterium. RNAcentral describes it as "partial 16S ribosomal RNA". It matches the Rfam family "Bacterial small subunit ribosomal RNA", at positions 524 to 776 of the family's 1533-position model. The record is from RNAcentral.